AUAUUGGACAAUGGGCGAAAGCCUGAUCCAGCCAUGCCGCGUGUGUGAAGAAGGUCUUAGGAUUGUAAAGCACUUUAAGAGGGGAGGAAGGGGUUGAAGCUAAUACCGUAAAUCUUUUACGUUACCAACAGAAUAAGCACCGGCUAACGCUGUGCCUGCAGCCGCGGUAAUACAGAGGGUGCAAGCAUUAAUCGGAAUUACUGGGCGUAAAGAGCGCGUAGGUGGUUCAGUAAGAUGGAAGUGAAAUCCCCGGGCUUAACCUGGGAACUGCUUUCAUAACUGCUGAGCUAGAGUACGGUAGAGGGUAGUGGAAUUUCCUGUGUAGCGGUGAAAUGCGUAGAUAUAGGAAGGAACACCAGUGGCGAAGGCGACUACCUGGACUGAUACUGACACUGAGGUGCGAAAGCGUGGGGAGCAAACA
RNAcentral lists this ribosomal RNA (421 nucleotides) under uncultured bacterium. RNAcentral describes it as "partial 16S ribosomal RNA". It matches the Rfam family "Bacterial small subunit ribosomal RNA", at positions 361 to 774 of the family's 1533-position model. The record is from RNAcentral.